GGAAGAAGUUGUUGUGAGCAGAGAACCUGUCUGUGCAUUCUGGACAAGCUGUCCUUACUGUCACAUACAGAGGAGGGAACUUAAAGGUGUCUCCGUGUGGUUCUGUAACCCAGCUGUCCCUGCACAUGGACACGCUGACUAAAGUUUCAGAUACCUCCUGGUUUUCUACACUGAGUCACUGUGCUGUUAUCUCCACUGGCUCUUGACAAAUGCAGGAUACAAGAAACUCUGAAACUGAAGACAGCCUGGAGCUGAGCAUCAGUCUAUUAAAAGCACAG
Long non-coding RNA from Gallus gallus (chicken), 278 nucleotides. The record is from Ensembl. Lineage: Eukaryota; Metazoa; Chordata; Aves; Galliformes; Phasianidae.